UACGUAGGGUGCGAGCGUUGUCCGGAAUUAUUGGGCGUAAAGAGCUCGUAGGCGGUCUGUCGCGUCGAAUGUGAAAACCCGGGGCUCAACUCCGGGCUUGCAUUCGAUACGGGCAGGCUAGAGUUCGGUAGGGGAGUCUGGAAUUCCUGGUGUAGCGGUGAAAUGCGCAGAUAUCAGGAGGAACACCGGUGGCGAAGGCGGGACUCUGGGCCGAUACUGACGCCGAGGAGCGAAAGCGUGGGGAGCGAACAGG
RNAcentral lists this ribosomal RNA (253 nucleotides) under uncultured bacterium. RNAcentral's name for it is "partial 16S ribosomal RNA". It matches the Rfam family "Bacterial small subunit ribosomal RNA", at positions 524 to 776 of the family's 1533-position model. The record is from RNAcentral.